GACGAACGCUGGCGGCGUGCUUAACACAUGCAAGUCGAACGGAAAGGCCCCUUUGGGGGUACUCGAGUGGCGAACGGGUGAGUAACACGUGAGUAACCUGCCCUUGACUUCGGGAUAACUUCAGGAAACUGGGGCUAAUACCGGAUAGGAAUCCUUGCUUCAUGGUGGGGGUUGGAAAGCUUCGGCGGUUUUGGAUGGACUCGCGGCUUAUCAGCUUGUUGGUGGGGUAGUGGCUUACCAAGGCUUUGACGGGUAGCCGGCCUGAGAGGGCGACCGGCCACAUUGGGACUGAGAUACGGCCCAGACUCCUACGGGAGGCAGCAGUGGAGAAUAUUGCACAAUGGGCGGAAGCCUGAUGCCGCAACGCCGCGUGCGGGAUGACGGCCUUCGGGUUGUAAACCGCUUUCAGCAGGGGCGAAGCUUUUGUGACGGUACCUGCAGAAGAAGCACCGGCUAACUACGUG
This 464-nucleotide ribosomal RNA is filed under the name uncultured bacterium. RNAcentral describes it as "partial 16S ribosomal RNA". It matches the Rfam family "Bacterial small subunit ribosomal RNA", at positions 28 to 507 of the family's 1533-position model. The record is from RNAcentral.